CCAAGGAUUAUCUUCUGUUGAAUUUGAGUUGCCAGAGAAUGAAUCUGAGCUCUCUGGGUGGACAAUUCAUGUCGUUUUGACCAAACCAAUGAGAAUUAAAGAAGGCUCUUCCAGACCAGGUGAGGAAACUGGGGCACAGCAAGAUCAGAUACCUUGUCCAGUGUUGCACAGCUUGUAAGUGAUAGAGCUGAAGUUUGAACUAAGGCUAUAGAGCUUCAGGAUCUGUGUACUUCUUACAUUUGGAGAGUCCACAGCAAAAAAUACCCAGUCAAAUCCAUGG
Molecule: long non-coding RNA, 280 nt
Organism: Carlito syrichta (Philippine tarsier)
Lineage: Eukaryota; Metazoa; Chordata; Mammalia; Primates; Tarsiidae
Exons: 4
Source: RefSeq, a predicted model, not a curated record